GUAUGCCACUUCUUCAAGCCAAUACGUCAGGUGGCAGUGGCUGGAAUGGUCCGUGAAGGUAUGCCACUUCUUCAAGCCAAUACGUCAGGUGGCAGUGGCUGGAAUGGUCGUGAAGGUAUGCCACUUCUUCAAGCCAAUACGUCAGGUGGCAGUGGCUGGAAUGGUCCAUGAAGGUAUGCCACUUCUUCAAGCCAAUACGUCAGGUGGCAGUGGCUGGAAUGGUCCGUGAAGGUAUGCCACUUCUUCAAGCCAAUACGUCAGGUGGCAGUGGCUGGAAUGGUCCGUGAAGGUAUGCCACUUCUUCAAGCCAAUACGUCAGGUGGCAGUGGCUGGAAUGGUCCGUGAAGGUAUGCCACUUCUUCAAGCCAAUACGUCAGGUGGCAGUGGCUGGAACGGUCCGUGAAGGUAUGCCACUUCUUCAAGCCAAUACGUCAGGUGGCAGUGGCUGCAGCUGCUGAUUGUGGCUGAGGAUUACUUCACCAUGCCCCUUCCUCCCUCCAGGUUAGACUACACCGAAUUAGGAUCAUUGUUUAACUAACACUGUUCGUAUGUGCAGUGCAGACCGAAUCAUCUGACAGCUGUGAUUGGUUGACUUUGUAUAAGAUUUUUGUGUUUUAUAAAUGUACAUCCAUCCAGUAAUUA
Long non-coding RNA from Haliotis rubra (blacklip abalone), 642 nucleotides. RefSeq lists it as uncharacterized. The transcript is spliced from 7 exons. Lineage: Eukaryota; Metazoa; Mollusca; Gastropoda; Lepetellida; Haliotidae. The record is from RefSeq and is a predicted model, not a curated record.